Molecule: long non-coding RNA, 728 nt
Filed under: Cairina moschata (Muscovy duck)
Lineage: Eukaryota; Metazoa; Chordata; Aves; Anseriformes; Anatidae
Description: domestica (muscovy Duck (domestic type)) lncRNA (ENSCMMG00000006513.1)
Source: RNAcentral
GUUUUAGUAGAGCUAUACUAACGUUUGGAAUUUCAUAACAUUUUAGCUUAUUAGCCAUUGUUUGCCUGAUAUUUUUUGACUCUGGUUACAUACCCCUCAAAUUAAACAGCUUGAAAGAGAAAAAUAUAAAGUUCUCUUGAACAAGUUACUUAAAGGCACCUUAAGAGAGGGGGAAGCGGGAGUAGUUCUUUAAAUCUUAAGUGAUAUAUGAAAGUUUGGCAGUGCUAGAUGAUAUGGAUGAGGUGCCAAACUUUUAACUCUUUUAUAUACUAAAGCUCUUCUCAAAUCUUCCUAGGAUAAGGUUGCUGAAAUAAUGGACUCUGAUCUAUAUCCAGACCAUGUGUAAACUUUGUUUGCAAAUGACAUGACAUCGUGUACUGUAUCCUUGGUGGAGAUCCUCAAUUUCUUAGCAGUCUGUUGGGGGACAGACUGAUGCUGCUGAUGCUUGUCUGAUUUAAUGGUUGGCUUCUGGAUAAACAAACUUUGAUGCAAAAUAACUGUCGGGCUUCUACUUUGAUUGAGUCUUUCCCCAAGGUGAUAAUUUUGUGCAGCAGAUUGAAUCCCUGCCCUGCCCUGAACGGAAUCUACCUAUGUCUAUUGGGCUGAACUCCAGCAACUCACAGUUGAAAUCAAGGUAAAUAUCAGCAGAAAAUAUGGUUUCACACUUAGCCUGGGCAGCUGAGUCCCACCUGUGUAUGCAAUGUGCAGCUGUAGCUGCAAUAGAAAUU